RNAcentral lists this ribosomal RNA (483 nucleotides) under uncultured bacterium. RNAcentral describes it as "partial 16S ribosomal RNA". It matches the Rfam family "Bacterial small subunit ribosomal RNA", at positions 28 to 507 of the family's 1533-position model. The record is from RNAcentral.
GACGAACGCUGGCGGCGUGCUUAACACAUGCAAGUCGAACGCUGAAGCUCAGCUUUUGUUGGGUGGAUGAGUGGCGAACGGGUGAGUAACACGUGAGUAACCUGCCCCCUUCUUUGGGAUAACGCCCGGAAACGGGUGCUCAUACUGGAUAUUCACUGGUCUUCGCAUGGGGGUUGGUGGAAAGGGUUUUUCUGGUGGGGGAUGGGCUCGCGGCCUAUCAGCUUGUUGGCGGGGUGAUGGCCUACCAAGGCUUUGACGGGUAGCCGGCCUGAGAGGGUGACCGGGCACAGUGGGACGGUGAUACGGCCCAGAGGCGGACGGGAGGCAGCAGUGGGGAAAAUGGGAGAAUGGGCGAAAGCCUAAUGCAGCGUGGCUGCGGAAGGGAUGGAGGCCGUCGGGUUCUGAACCUCGUUCACACAUGGUGAGGCCGCAACAAUGGUUGUGGUGACGGUAGUGGGUAAAGAAGCGCCGGCUAACUACGUG